GUUGAAAGAGUUGAAGGUGCAACUGCAGGAAUUGCUAGAUAAGUUUUUCAUCUACCCUAGUGUAUGGCAUCACCUUGGGGAGCACUAAUAUUAUUUGUGAGCAACUGUAUUCUCCAAGAUUGAUUUGAGAUCGGGAUACUACCAGUUGAGGGUGCAGGAGCAUAAUAUUCCUAAAACUGCCUUCAGGACUCGGUAUGGCCACUAUAAAUUCUUGAUGAUGCCAUUCAGGUUGACUAAUACUCCAGCUGCUUUUAUGGGCCUGAUGAACACUAUCUUCAGGCCAUAUUUGGACCAAUUUGGUGUUCAUUGAUGAUAUUUUAGAGUACUCAAAGAAUACAAAGGAACAUGACAAGUACUUCGAGGGAGAAACAGUUGUAUGUCAAACUGUCAAAAUGUGAGUUUUAACUGAAGGAGAUUAUAUCUGCAGAGGGUAGUAUCCAAGUGGAUCUUAGAAAGGUAGAAGCUAUCCUUAAUCGGAAGCCGCCCAAAAAUGUCACUGAUGUUUGUAGUUUUAUUGAUAUAUUAUUAUGUUAUUAAUUUUUUUGUUUUGUUUUUAGCAUUGAAAAUAUAGUAGUUUUAUUUAUAUUAUUAUGUUAUUAAUUUU
Molecule: unclassified non-coding RNA, 604 nt
Filed under: Hevea brasiliensis (rubber tree)
Lineage: Eukaryota; Viridiplantae; Streptophyta; Magnoliopsida; Malpighiales; Euphorbiaceae
Source: RNAcentral